This 1330-nucleotide long non-coding RNA is filed under the name Heterocephalus glaber (naked mole-rat). RNAcentral's name for it is "lncRNA (ENSHGLG00100038287.1)". Lineage: Eukaryota; Metazoa; Chordata; Mammalia; Rodentia; Bathyergidae. The record is from RNAcentral.
GCGCUGGCCUUCCGGUGCCGCCCCCUCCGGAGGCGGAAGCUGAGCCGCCCUCUGGCCUGCGGCCGCCCCUCUCCGGCACUCUGCAUUCAGAGAGCUCCAAAUCCACCUCGCGCUCUCCGUGGAAAACGUGAGCCCCUGCUGUGGUUUGGGCCUUCAAUCCCACAAAGGCCCUUGAGCCAAGGGUCGCAGGUCCUAAAGCCACAGGACCAGGAAAGCAUGGACUGCGGGCCCCAAAGCCCUUCUCUGUGGAGGCCGACUCGCGGGCGCUUUGCCACGGCGACAGGAAGUUAACACGGCCUUGAAAGCUCUACUUCCUUGCCUGCCUGCAGUCUGCUCGCUCUUCUCACCGGCUGUUUUUAGCGUCUUCCGGGCCUCCAAAGGCUGUACAAACUUCUAUCCACAGGUUGUCAUAUCUGCUGUCAUUCAUUCCUCCACAAAUACAAAGCGCCUUGGAUGUUUCAGAUGCUAUCCCAAGUCCCAGGGAAUUCCACAGUGACUAUGUCAGAAUUACUUCUUGUUUCAUGGAGCUACAAACUAGAAAAAAAGACAAAUAUAGAGAGCAAAAAUAACCCCUCAGAAUUUGAAAAGGAAGGUGGAAUGGCUUGUAUGUUAACACAAAUCCAGGGCUAGAUACACAGCAAGCCCUGGCACCUGGAGCAUCUCCCCUUAUCCACUCUGCUUCAGGUCGCUUCCGCUACCUGCAGUUAAGCUUCAUCCAGGAAGAUUAAAUGGAAGGUUCCAGAAGUAAAAGUGUCUAAGUUCAACGUGUGCGUCCAUCUGAGCUGAGCUGUGGAGGGCAACCUUGGCCAUCUGCGGUACCUGCACGGCCUGCUGGUCACUACCUGGGCUGCAGGCAGCCAUAGGGGCCUCCGGAAUGUGUCCCCCAAAGCGAGGGGUGCCUCGCCCACCUCAGCGCCCCUGCACGCUUCCAUCUUUCCCUAGGGAACUUGCGUGAGCUUUAGGUGAAGAGUGCACAGAGGUUAAGAAAUGGCAAGAAAGUUAAUCCCAUACUUUUCAAAAUAUAAACCUAAUUUUCAUCUUAAGUUUGCCUACAAUAGGACAUGGCCCUGCUGGGGCCCGGCUCCAAGCAGUACUUCUAGCUGCAAAGUUGCAUAAAGAUCCUGUUCUUAGGGAAUAGUCCUGUGUUUACCGUAACUGUGGGAUGCCCAAUUGUAAGCUGCCAUUAGGAAAAAAUGUCAUCACUCUUGGAAAAACAAAACCACCAGAAAUAGACAGUCUUCUUAUCCUUUAGUAUACUCACCGGAGACCAGCAGUCGGGGGACCCACUGCAGCCCCGCUGUGCUCCUCCGGGGCAGUUCUGCGCCUGCAC